This 364-nucleotide ribosomal RNA is filed under the name uncultured fungus. Its description in RNAcentral is "eukaryotic LSU rRNA". It matches the Rfam family "Eukaryotic large subunit ribosomal RNA", at positions 40 to 398 of the family's 3401-position model. Lineage: Eukaryota; Fungi. The record is from RNAcentral.
AUAUCAAUAAGCGGAGGAAAAGAAACUAACAAGGAUUCCCCUAGUAACGGCGAGUGAAGCGGGAAAAGCUCAAAUUUGAAAUCUGGCAUCCUUCGGGUGUCCGAGUUGUAAUCUAUAGAAGUGUUUUCUGUGCUGGACUGUAUUCAAGUUCCUUGGAAUAGGAUAUCAAAGAGGGUGAGAAUCCCGUACUUCAUACAACGACCAGUACUAUGCGAUACACUUUCUAAGAGUCGAGUUGUUUGGGAAUGCAGCUCUAAAUGGGUGGUAAAUUCCAUCUAAAGCUAAAUAUUGGCGAGAGACCGAUAGCGAACAAGUACCGUGAGGGAAAGAUGAAAAGCACUUUGGAAAGAGAGUUAAACAGUAC